This 216-nucleotide unclassified non-coding RNA is filed under the name Hevea brasiliensis (rubber tree). Lineage: Eukaryota; Viridiplantae; Streptophyta; Magnoliopsida; Malpighiales; Euphorbiaceae. The record is from RNAcentral.
CAAAAAAGCUACUAACUCUCCUCAGACGCCAGAGGCGAAGCAUACUAAAGUAUCCAUAUGACUGAAGUCUAUCAGGCAAUAUGGACCUGACAAGUUCAGAAGGAAUGGUGGAGAUUACAUCAAAGGCCAGCCAGGUCUUUGCAUACCUGAAACCAAUCUUCUUUGGAUUGUCAACCAGAUUAUAAGUAAAUUUAUCGAGGUAUGCCACAAAGAAGG